GACAGGUACAGUGGCACGUGCUUGUAGUCAGCUACUCAGGAGGCUGAGGCAGGAGGAUCACUUGAGCCCAGGAGUCCUGGGCUGUAGUGCCCUAUGCUGAUAGGGUGUUCACACUGAGUUCACAUUAAUAUGGUGACCUCCCAGCAGUGAGGGAUCACCAGGCUGCCUAAGGAGGGGUUAACCUGCCCAGGUCAGAAGCAGAACAAGUGAAAACUCCCAUAUUGAUCAGUAGUGGGAUCAUGCCUGUGCACUCACCACUGCAAUCACCACUGCACUCCAGCCUGGGCAACAUAGCAAGACCCCAUUUCU
RNAcentral lists this signal recognition particle RNA (309 nucleotides) under Rhinopithecus roxellana (golden snub-nosed monkey). RNAcentral's name for it is "Metazoan signal recognition particle RNA (ENSRROG00000015330.1)". It matches the Rfam family "Metazoan signal recognition particle RNA". Rfam says of the family: The signal recognition particle (SRP) is a universally conserved ribonucleoprotein. The record is from RNAcentral. Lineage: Eukaryota; Metazoa; Chordata; Mammalia; Primates; Cercopithecidae.